AUAAAUUUUUGUAUUUAUUUUAUAUAGUCUUGUUAACUAUUAAAAAAAAGUUGAAUACAUAACAAAAAUGAUUUCUACAUUUGUUAAUUUAUUAAUACAUUUAUAUAUUUUUAUAUUAUUUUUUGUCUCAAACAUUUUCAUGUGAUUUAAUAUCAUUAUAUUAUAUCAAUGAUAUCAAGUUUUUUAGAUAUCCAUAUUGAAACUUUUUCAUUUUCUUUUAUAAAUCUUAAGUCAUAUUUAGAUGUGUUAUAAACACAAAACAUGAAAAUGCAUUUUUAAGAUCAGAUUUAAACAUUUCGAACAUAUAGCUUUAUAAUAUUCAAAUUGUGAUUUUGAAAUGUUACACGUAUAAAUAUUAUAGUAUAUAACAAUGCUGAAAUAUCAAAAUUAUCGUACAUUUUCAUAAACAAUAACUUAUAAUACAUAUAUGAUGUUAUUAUAUUAUUCUAUACGUUCUAUCUAUAUAUAUCUAUGUUAUAUCUAGCUUGUGCAUCUUAAAUUGCAAUUCUAACAUCGAACAAUUAACGAUUAUCGUAUAUUUGAAAUACAAAUUUUCUCGAUUUUAUAGUACAAAUUUAAUAGUUAUAUUUAUAAUUUUUAUUAGAAAGUAAACUUAAUAUUUCAUAAUUGUAUUUUCAUUAUAAAUAAUUAAAAUUGUGAAUUCUAUGUGAAUUAAAAUUUUAUAUUUACGUAAAAUAUUAUUAUAAGAAUAUAUUAUAAUUAUUAUAUUUAUAAUGGCAUUUUCUCGUAUACCUCGCCGUGAAGGUUAUAUAGUUGCAAUACUUGGUGCUAUCACUGGUUAUUAUAUAUGGAAUCAGCCAUUAAAAGAAUUUGCUGAAAAAAAUUUCUCUAAUACAGACUUAAAUAAAGAUAUAUAUCAUGAUCAAAAAUAAAUUUUUUAUGCAUCCUACGACCAAAAUAAGUUUUAUAAUAGCUGGUAUUCUAGGUUGUAUAGGUAGUUAUAAAUUUUAUUUCAAACAAUAUAUUAAUUUUUUUGGAAGAAAAGAAGCUGAAAAAGAAGCAAAUAUAUUAUAUGAAAAACUUAGAAAAAAAGAAGUAAAACUAUCAAAAAUAAAAUAUAAUUAAAUGUAUCGUAAAAAGUUUAUAUUUGUAAUAAUAGUUAUAUUGUAAUGUAUAUAUUUAAUAAAUAAUACAUUCAAUAAUUAUA
Apis cerana (Asiatic honeybee) is the source of this 1168-nucleotide long non-coding RNA. RefSeq lists it as uncharacterized. The record is from RefSeq and is a predicted model, not a curated record. NCBI's taxonomy places the organism in Eukaryota, Metazoa, Arthropoda, Insecta, Hymenoptera, Apidae.